This 1123-nucleotide ribosomal RNA is filed under the name Pleurotus sapidus. RNAcentral describes it as "eukaryotic LSU rRNA". The stretch from base 528 to 1123 matches the Rfam family "Eukaryotic large subunit ribosomal RNA", at positions 1 to 597 of the family's 3401-position model. The record is from RNAcentral. Lineage: Eukaryota; Fungi; Basidiomycota; Agaricomycetes; Agaricales; Pleurotaceae.
AGUCUUUCAACCACCUGUGAACUUUUGAUAGAUCUGUGAAGUCGUCCUUCAAGUCGUCAGACUUGGUUUGCUGGGAUUUAAACGUCUCGGUGUGACAACGCAGUCUAUUUACUUACACACCCCAAAUGUAUGUCUACGAAUGUCAUUUAAUGGGCCUUGUGCCUAUAAACCAUAAUACAACUUUCAACAACGGAUCUCUUGGCUCUCGCAUCGAUGAAGAACGCAGCGAAAUGCGAUAAGUAAUGUGACUUGCAGAAUUCAGUGAAUCAUUGACUCUUUGAACGCAGCUUGCGCCCCUUGGUAUUCCGAGGGGCAUGCCUGUUUGAGUGUCAUUAAAUUCUCAAACUCACAUUUAUUUGUGAUGUUUGGAUUGUUGGGGGCUGCUGGCCUUAACAGGUCGGCUCCUCUUAAAUGCAUUAGCAGGACUUCUCAUUGCCUCUGCGCAUGAUGUGAUAAUUAUCACUCAUCAAUAGCACGCAUGAAUAGAGUCCAGCUCUCUAAUCGUCCGCAAGGACAAUUUGACAAUUUGACCUCAAAUCAGGUAGGACUACCCGCUGAACUUAAGCAUAUCAAUACGCGGAGGAAAAGAAACUAACAAGGAUUCCCCUAGUAACUGCGAGUGAAGCGGGAAAAGCUCAAAUUUAAAAUCUGGUGGUCUUUGGCCAUCCGAGUUGUAAUCUAGAGAAGUGUUAUCCGCGCUGGACCGUGUACAAGUCCCCUGGAAUGGGGCGUCAUAGAGGGUGAGAAUCCCGUCUUUGAAACGGACUACCAGGGCUUUGUGAUGCACUCUCAAAGAGUCGAGUUGUUUGGGAAUGCAGCUCAAAAUGGGUGGUAAAUUCCAUCUAAAGCUAAAUAUUGGCGAGAGACCGAUAGCGAACAAGUACCGUGAGGGAAAGAUGAAAAGAACUUUGGAAAGAGAGUUAAACAGUACGUGAAAUUGUUGAAAGGGAAACGCUUGAAGUCAGUCGCGUCUGCCAGGGAUCAACCUUACUUUUGUGAGGCGUACUUCCUGGUUGAUGGGUCAGCAUCAGUUUUGGUAGCUGGAUAAAGGUCAGAGAAAUGUGGCACCUUCGGGUGUGUUAUAGUCUUUGAUCAGAUACAGUGGCUGGGACUGAGGAACUCC